Molecule: ribosomal RNA, 253 nt
Filed under: uncultured bacterium
Lineage: Bacteria
Description: partial 16S ribosomal RNA
Rfam family: Bacterial small subunit ribosomal RNA
Source: RNAcentral
UACGUAGGGUGCGAGCGUUAAUCGGAAUUACUGGGCGUAAAGUGUGCGCAGGCGGCCGAGCAAGUCGGGUGUGAAAGCCCCGAGCUUAACUUGGGAACUGCGCUCGAAACUACUUGGCUAGAGUGUGGCAGAGGGAGGUGGAAUUCCACGUGUAGCGGUGAAAUGCGUAGAGAUGUGGAGGAACACCGAUGGCGAAGGCAGCCUCCUGGGCCAACACUGACGCUCAUGCACGAAAGCGUGGGGAGCAAACAGG